GAUGAACGCUGGCGGCGUGCUUAACACAUGCAAGUCGAACGGAAAGGCCUCUGCUUGCAGGGGUACUCGAGUGGCGAACGGGUGAGUAACACGUGGGUGAUCUGCCCUGCACUUCGGGAUAAGCCUGGGAAACUGGGUCUAAUACCGGAUAGGACAAUGGUUUGGAUGCUGUUGUGGAAAGUUUUUCGGUGUGGGAUGAGCUCGCGGCCUAUCAGCUUGUUGGUGGGGUAAUGGCCUACCAAGGCGUCGACGGGUAGCCGGCCUGAGAGGGUGUACGGCCACAUUGGGACUGAGAUACGGACCAGACUCCUACGGGAGGCAGCAGUGGGGAAUAUUGCACAAUGGGCGCAAGCCUGAUGCAGCGACGCCGCGUGGGGGAUGACGGCCUUCGGGUUGUAAACUCCUUUCGCUAGGGACGAAGCGUUUUUGUGACGGUACCUGGAGAAGAAGCACCGGCUAACUACGUG
RNAcentral lists this ribosomal RNA (467 nucleotides) under uncultured bacterium. RNAcentral's name for it is "partial 16S ribosomal RNA". It matches the Rfam family "Bacterial small subunit ribosomal RNA", at positions 28 to 507 of the family's 1533-position model. The record is from RNAcentral.